CAGAUUUUCACUGUUUCUGAAAACCGUUUUCAAGGAACAAUCCCUAAAAGCUUGAGAAAUUGCACAAGCUUAAUCCGAGUACGGCUUGAUGGAAACAACCUUACUGGAAAUAUUUCAAAAGCUUUCGGCAUUUAUCCUAACCUGACUUUCAUAGAUCUCAGCCGCAAUAAUUUUUACGGUGAAAUCUCGUCUAACUUUGGGGAAUGCCCAAAAUUAGGCGCUCUCAACAUUUCGAGGAAUAACAUUACUGGAGGUAUACCGUGUGAGAUUGGAAACUGGUCUCAACUACAAGCACUCGAUCUUUCAUUGAAUCAUAUAGUUGGGGAGAUUCCAAAGGAACUUGGGAAGUUAAAUUCGCUAACCAAGCUCAUUUUGAGAGGGAAUCAACUUACAGGACGCCUGCCUACAGAAAUCGGCGCAUUCAAUGAACUUGAAUACCUCGACUUAUCUGCAAAUAGAUUCAACAAUUCAGUCCCAGAAAGUCUCGGCCACUUGCUGAAAUUGCACUACUUGGAUUUAAGCAACAACCAGUUUGUCCAAGAAUUGCCAAAGGAAUUGGAGAAGCUAGUUCAACUUUCAGAAUUAGAUGCAAGUCAUAACCUCUUUGGAGGAGAGAUACCAUUUCAAAUAUGCAGUUUGAAAAGCUUGGAAAAGUUGAAUCUCUCCCACAAUAAUCUCUCUGGUUCGAUUCCAAAUUGCUUUGAGGGAAUGCACGGUCUAUCAGUCAUUGACAUUUCUGAUAAUCAAUUGCAAGGCCCAGUUCCAAAUAGCACAGCAUUUCGGAAUGCCCCAGUGGAAGCGUUAGAGGGGAAUAAGGAAUUGUGUGGAAGUGUGAAAGGAAUGCAACCAUGCAAAGUUUUCUCGUCACACAAGCAAAAUUCUGGAGCCAAGUGGUUUGCAAUAGUGUUCCCUGUUUUAGGAGCAUUAUUUGUUUCAAUGGCGUUGAUAGCAAUUUUCAUUCUUCAAAAGCGGAAGUCAGACUCAGGAGAUCGACAGAGUAGCAACCAGAACCCUCAGGGAUUGCUUUCUAUAUUCAAGUUUGAAGGCAAACUUGUGUACGAUGAAAUUGUUAGAGCAACAAAUGAUUUUGCAGAUUUUCACUGUUUCUGAAAACCGUUUUCAAGGAACAAUCCCUAAAAGCUUGAGAAAUUGCACAAGCUUAAUCCGAGUACGGCUUGAUGGAAACAACCUUACUGGAAAUAUUUCAAAAGCUUUCGGCAUUUAUCCUAACCUGACUUUCAUAGAUCUCAGCCGCAAUAAUUUUUACGGUGAAAUCUCGUCUAACUUUGGGGAAUGCCCAAAAUUAGGCGCUCUCAACAUUUCGAGGAAUAACAUUACUGGAGGUAUACCGUGUG
This 1355-nucleotide long non-coding RNA is filed under the name Citrus sinensis (sweet orange). Its description in RNAcentral is "long non-coding RNA (CSIN_LNC004142)". The record is from RNAcentral. Lineage: Eukaryota; Viridiplantae; Streptophyta; Magnoliopsida; Sapindales; Rutaceae.